Aegilops tauschii subsp. strangulata is the source of this 817-nucleotide long non-coding RNA. RefSeq lists it as uncharacterized. NCBI's taxonomy places the organism in Eukaryota, Viridiplantae, Streptophyta, Magnoliopsida, Poales, Poaceae. The record is from RefSeq and is a predicted model, not a curated record.
AUGGGACUAAUCGGUGAGUCAAAUGAUAUUAGUUUCUACAUGUCAAUUAGUGAAAAAUUUGCAACAUCUCCAACAUUUGUAGUUCUUAUAUUUGAAAACUUUUGUUGUUUGCCUAUAUUUUAAAUUUGAAUUUGAAUCGUUUUGAACUAACGCGAGUUUAUCUACAGUAACCGAGAUGACGUGGCAUCAGUAGCAGAGGUUUACUGUAGCUUAAUUAUCCGGGCGUCACACCUCACCGCCCUCUAAGAGGAGAAACACGCGGCAGACGGUGGAAAAACGCCCUGUUAGCCGAAUGUCUGCCAAUCCGGUACCGAACUCGUCAACUAGGACGGGAGCUGAUGCAAUGCCAGUUCCACCGCCUCAUGAGGAUUCAGACGACGUAUCUGUCACGAAUUCCGAAGUGGAGAGCGCGAUGAAUCACCAUCUAUUGAAAGAGGGCAUGCGCGCUUCGGCCUUUUCCGAGUCAGAAUUUACUGCACUCAGUUCGGUAGAUGCAUACCUCUGAGCAGCUCGAGACGGACUUGCCGGAGUCAUUCAGUUGUUCUCAAAGGACAUACAGGUUCUUAAAGAAAAGAACACUGCGCUAGCCUAGGAGCUGAAAACCAACCAGACGCAGCUGAAUGCUGUCACCGCCGAACUGGUAGAAAUGAAAAAGAUCGCAGUGGGCGCGUCUGGGGAUAAAAAUCAUGAGGGGAAGAAAAACAAACAAUCCGAAGAGAUGGAGAGCUUAAGGGCUCAGUUAUCGGCCGCGCAGAAAGAAAAUGAAAAACUGAAGGGCGGCAUGUUCGGCCUGUUGACUGGUCGACCGGAGGAAGAA